UACUAAAGACUUUUCAGGGAUCAUUUCUAUAGUUGCUUACUAUAGAUGUUUCCCUAAACGUGUAGAGCACCAGAAACCGUAAGUUCUCUCUUAAGUGUGAAGCCGGCUCUUGGUGUUCUCUGCAACUGCCAUUUGGCAUUGAUCAGCUUCUCUUCCUUUGUGAAAGUUAGAGGGAGAGAGGAUGCAGUCUUACUGGU
This 197-nucleotide small nucleolar RNA is filed under the name Prolemur simus (greater bamboo lemur). RNAcentral's name for it is "Small nucleolar RNA U3 (ENSPSMG00000004783.1)". It matches the Rfam family "Small nucleolar RNA U3". From Rfam's summary of the family: Small nucleolar RNAs (snoRNAs) are involved in the processing and modification of rRNA in the nucleolus. There are two main classes of snoRNAs: the box C/D class, and the box H/ACA class. Lineage: Eukaryota; Metazoa; Chordata; Mammalia; Primates; Lemuridae. The record is from Rfam by way of RNAcentral.